CCUACGGGUGGCAGCAGUGAGGAAUAUUGGUCAAUGGGCGCGAGCCUGAACCAGCCAAGUAGCGUGAAGGAUGACUGCCCUACGGGUUGUAAACUUCUUUUAUAAAGGAAUAAAGUGAGGCACGUGUGCCUUUUUGUAUGUACUUUAUGAAUAAGGAUCGGCUAACUACGUGCCAGCAGCCGCGGUAAUACGUAGGAGGCGAGCGUUAUCCGGAAUGACUGGGCGUAAAGGGUUCGUAGGUGGUUUGGCAAGUUAGUAGCGUAACUCCAAGGCUCAACCUUGGAACUACUACUAAAACUGUUGGACGUGAGUGCAGGAGGGGCAACCGGAAUUCCUAGUGUAGCGGUGGAAUGCGUAGAUAUUAGGAGGAACACCAGUGGCGAAGGCGGGUUGCUAGACUGUAACUGACACUGAGGCACGAAAGCGUGGGGAGCAAACAGGAUUAGAUACCCUUGUAGUC
Molecule: ribosomal RNA, 460 nt
Filed under: uncultured bacterium
Lineage: Bacteria
Description: partial 16S ribosomal RNA
Rfam family: Bacterial small subunit ribosomal RNA
Source: RNAcentral